RNAcentral lists this ribosomal RNA (506 nucleotides) under uncultured bacterium. RNAcentral describes it as "partial 16S ribosomal RNA". It matches the Rfam family "Bacterial small subunit ribosomal RNA", at positions 29 to 523 of the family's 1533-position model. The record is from RNAcentral.
AGUGAACGCUGGCGGUAGGCCUAACACAUGCAAGUCGAACGGCAGCACAGAGGAGCUUGCUCCUUGGGUGGCGAGUGGCGGACGGGUGAGGAAUACAUCGGAAUCUACUCUGUCGUGGGGGAUAACGUAGGGAAACUUACGCUAAUACCGCAUACGACCUACGGGCGAAAGCAGGGGAUCUUCGUACCUUGCGCGAUUGAAUGAGCCGAUGUCGGAUUAGCUAGUUGGCGGGGUAAAGGCCCACCAAGGCGACGACCCGUAGCUGGUCUGAGAGGAUGAUCAGCCACACUGGAACUGAGACACGGUCCAGACUCCUACGGGAGGCAGCAGUGGGGAAUAUUGGACAAUGGGCGCAAGCCUGAUCCAGCCAUACCGCGUGGGUGAAGAAGGCCUUCGGGUUGUAAAGCCCUUUUGUUGGGAAAGAAAUCCAUCUGGUUAAUACCCGGGUGGGAUGACGGUACCCAAAGAAUAAGCACCGGCUAACUUCGUGCCAGCAGCCGCCGUAA